GGCACAAGUCACAGCAGCCACCCAGCUUCGCUGACUCCACCUCAGCCCCACCGGGACGCAGAGGAAGCGGCCAAACCCAGAAGAGGGGCUGCAGCCUCACCCUACUCCGGCUCCCACGCAAGCCCUAAGGACACCAGCUACACCCGAGGCUCUGCUUACCGACCUCCCUCCUCACCCACAGCCCCAGCGCGUUCCAACGGCCAAGGAACUGCGUCCUUCCUGCGCAGGAAGGCACCACACUAAAAUAAAAGCUCGCGAUCAAGUAACCUUUCCAUUUUAGAUACUGCUGGGAUUUGUCAGGAUCACAAGGUAAUUUUUAAGGAUAUUCUCACUGAUACUUUGUGAGCGCAGAGGUGAAAGUGUCAAAAAAGCGGAUAAAGUGGCUAUUGCUGGAAACCUGCAGUAAUUUGUUCCACCAGUGAAGUUUAUUUCACUGGAAAGUUUGUGUGUCUCUGAAUAUCCCAAUAUAAGUAUCGUGUUGUUAUGACAUUACUUUGUUGUCAAGUAUA
Long non-coding RNA from Pezoporus occidentalis (night parrot), 509 nucleotides. RefSeq lists it as uncharacterized. NCBI's taxonomy places the organism in Eukaryota, Metazoa, Chordata, Aves, Psittaciformes, Psittacidae. The transcript has 3 exons. The record is from RefSeq and is a predicted model, not a curated record.